Molecule: ribosomal RNA, 304 nt
Filed under: uncultured bacterium
Lineage: Bacteria
Description: partial 16S ribosomal RNA
Rfam family: Bacterial small subunit ribosomal RNA
Source: RNAcentral
ACGAGCGCACCCUUGUCCUUAGUUGCCAUCGGGUAAUGCCGGGCUCUCUAGUGAAACCGCCUGGAAAACGGGGAGGAAGGGGGGGAUGACGUCAAGUCCUCAUGGCCUUUAUGUCCGGGGCUACACACGUGCUACAAUGGUCGGUACAAACCGUCGCAAACCCGCGAGGGGGAGCUAAUCGAAAAAAGCCGGCCUCAUUUCGGAUUGGAGUCUGCAACCCGACUCCAUGAAGCUGGAAUCUCUAGUAAUCGCAUAUCAAAACGCCGCGGUAAAUACUUUCCCGGGCCUUGUACACCCCCCCCGU